UGCCCAGCAACUCCUAUCCCUACCUCCACGCGGUACCGGCCGGAAACUAUGAGCAACCUUAGGGAAGAUCGGGUAACCAACCCCGGUGGGAACUUUGGUCGUAGGCUGACAGGGAAGG
Molecule: non-coding RNA, 118 nt
Organism: Aedes albopictus (Asian tiger mosquito)
Lineage: Eukaryota; Metazoa; Arthropoda; Insecta; Diptera; Culicidae
Source: Rfam